GCAUCUAACUUUAGGUAAUCAGUCAUCUUUACCUUGCUCCUCACAGAUGGGCCAGGUUGAGGUGUUUGGAUAACUGGGGCUUCUGGUUGUACCACUGGUGGUGGUGGUGGAGGAGGUGCAGAACUCUCUGGUGUAGAGUAUGCUGGACUGGGGUAAAAAGGUGAGGGUGGAUACAUGGGAUAUGGUGGAUAUGGGGGGUAAUACGGUGGAUACGGCAUAUAUGUGGGAUAUGGGUGAAAACUAGGAUGAUCCGAUGUUCCUCCCAUCGAAUAUCCUGGGCCCUGUGGGUAGGGCUGAUAGUGGGGUGGAUAACCAUACCCCGAGGCCUGACCGCCUCCCUGUGAUGAUCCCACAUCC
This 357-nucleotide long non-coding RNA is filed under the name Manihot esculenta (cassava). RNAcentral's name for it is "long non-coding RNA (MESC_LNC011179)". The record is from RNAcentral. Lineage: Eukaryota; Viridiplantae; Streptophyta; Magnoliopsida; Malpighiales; Euphorbiaceae.